RNAcentral lists this ribosomal RNA (467 nucleotides) under uncultured bacterium. RNAcentral describes it as "partial 16S ribosomal RNA". It matches the Rfam family "Bacterial small subunit ribosomal RNA", at positions 29 to 507 of the family's 1533-position model. The record is from RNAcentral.
ACGCACGCUGGCGGCGUGCUUCACCCAUGCAAGUCGAACGGAAAGGCCCUGCUUUUGUGGGGUGCUCGAGUGGCGAACGGGUGAGUAACACGUGAGUAACCUGCCCUUGACUUUGGGAUAACUUCAGGAAACUGGGGCUAAUACCGGAUAGGAGCUCCUGCUGCAUGGUGGGGGUUGGAAAGUUUCGGCGGUUGGGGAUGGACUCGCGGCUUAUCAGCUUGUUGGUGGGGUAGUGGCUUACCAAGGCUUUGACGGGUAGCCGGCCUGAGAGGGUGACCGGCCACAUUGGGACUGAGAUACGGCCCAGACUCCUACGGGAGGCAGCAGUGGGGAAUAUUGCACAAUGGGCGGAAGCCUGAUGCAGCAACGCCGCGUGCGGGAUGACGGCCUUCGGGUUGUAAACCGCUUUCGCUUGUGACGAAGCGUGAGUGACGGUAAUGGGCAAAGAAGCACCGGCUAACUACGUG